CCUACGGGAGGCAGCAGUAAGGAAUAUUGGUCAAUGGACGCAAGUCUGAACCAGCCAUGCCGCGUGAAGGAUUAAGGCCCUCUGGGUUGUAAACUUCUUUUAUAGGGGACGAAAAAAGGGCAUUCUUGCUCACUUGACGGUACCCUAGGAAUAAGCACCGGCUAACUCCGUGCCAGCAGCCGCGGUAAUACGGAGGGUGCAAGCGUUAUCCGGAUUUACUGGGUUUAAAGGGUGCGUAGGUGGGUUGGUAAGUCAGUGGUGAAAUCUUCGAGCUUAACUCGGAAACUGCCAUUGAUACUAUCAAUCUUGAAUCAUCUAGAGGUAAGCGGAAUAUGUCAUGUAGCGGUGAAAUGCUUAGAUAUGACAUAGAACACCAAUUGCGAAGGCAGCUUACUAUGGAUGUAUUGACACUGAGGCACGAAAGCGUGGGGAUCAAACAGGAUUAGAUACCCUGGUAGUCCACGACCUAACGAUAGAUACUACGACAUUAGUGUAUAUACUAUAGUAGU
RNAcentral lists this ribosomal RNA (509 nucleotides) under uncultured bacterium. RNAcentral describes it as "bacterial SSU rRNA". It matches the Rfam family "Bacterial small subunit ribosomal RNA", at positions 338 to 844 of the family's 1533-position model. The record is from RNAcentral.